GCAGCUACACAUGCAAGUCGAACGGUAACAGGAAGAAGCUUGCUUCUUUGCUGACGAGUGGCGGACGGGUGAGUAAUGUCUGGGAAACUGCCUGAUGGAGGGGGAUAACUACUGGAAACGGUAGCUAAUACCGCAUAACGUCGCAAGACCAAAGAGGGGGACCUUCGGGCCUCUUGCCAUCGGAUGUGCCCAGAUGGGAUUAGCUAGUAGGUGGGGUAAAGGCUCACCUAGGCGACGAUCCCUAGCUGGUCUGAGAGGAUGACCAGCCACACUGGAACUGAGACACGGUCCAGACUCCUACGGGAGGCAGCAGUGGGGAAUAUUGCACAAUGGGCGCAAGCCUGAUGCAGCCAUGCCGCGUGUAUGAAGAAGGCCUUCGGGUUGUAAAGUACUUUCAGCGGGGAGGAAGGGAGUAAAGUUAAUACCUUUGCUCAUUGACGUUACCCGCAGAAGAAGCACCGGCUAACUCCGUGCCAGCAGCCGCGGUAAUACGGAGGGUGCAAGCGUUAAUCGGAAUUACUGGGCGUAAAGCGCACGCAGGCGGUUUGUUAAGUCAGAUGUGAAAUCCCCGGGCUCAACCUGGGAACUGCAUCUGAUACUGGCAAGCUUGAGUCUCGUAGAGGGGGGUAGAAUUCCAGGUGUAGCGGUGAAAUGCGUAGAGAUCUGGAGGAAUACCGGUGGCGAAGGCGGCCCCCUGGACGAAGACUGACGCUCAGGUGCGAAAGCGUGGGGAGCAAACAGGAUUAGAUACCCUGGUAGUCCACGCCGUAAACGAUGUCGACUUGGAGGUUGUGCCCUUGAGGCGUGGCUUCCGGAGCUAACGCGUUAAGUCGACCGCCUGGGGAGUACGGCCGCAAGGUUAAAACUCAAAUGAAUUGACGGGGGCCCGCACAAGCGGUGGAGCAUGUGGUUUAAUUCGAUGCAACGCGAAGAACCUUACCUGGUCUUGACAUCCACGGAAGUUUUCAGAGAUGAGAAUGUGCCUUCGGGAACCGUGAGACAGGUGCUGCAUGGCUGUCGUCAGCUCGUGUUGUGAAAUGUUGGGUUAAGUCCCGCAACGAGCGCAACCCUUAUCCUUUGUUGCCAGCGGUCCGGCCGGGAACUCAAAGGAGACUGCCAGUGAUAAACUGGAGGAAGGUGGGGGAAUAACCU
RNAcentral lists this ribosomal RNA (1152 nucleotides) under Escherichia coli. RNAcentral's name for it is "bacterial SSU rRNA". It matches the Rfam family "Bacterial small subunit ribosomal RNA", at positions 46 to 1185 of the family's 1533-position model. The record is from RNAcentral. Lineage: Bacteria; Pseudomonadati; Pseudomonadota; Gammaproteobacteria; Enterobacterales; Enterobacteriaceae.